RNAcentral lists this ribosomal RNA (515 nucleotides) under uncultured bacterium. RNAcentral describes it as "partial 16S ribosomal RNA". It matches the Rfam family "Bacterial small subunit ribosomal RNA", at positions 28 to 523 of the family's 1533-position model. The record is from RNAcentral.
GAUGAACGCUGGCGGCGUGCCUAAUACACGCAAGUCGAGCGAAUGGAUUAAGAGCUUGCUCUUAUGAAGUUAGCGGCGGACGGGUGAGUAACACGUGGGUAACCUGCCCAUAAGACUGGGAUAACUCCGGGAAACCGGGGCUAAUACCGGAUAACAUUUUGAACCGCAUGGUUCGAAAUUGAAAGGCGGCUUCGGCUGUAACUUAUGGAUGGACCCGCGUCGCAUUAGCUAGUUGGUGAGGUAACGGCUCACCAAGGCAACGAUGCGUAGCCGACCUGAGAGGGUGAUCGGCCACACUGGGACUGAGACACGGCCCAGACUCCUACGGGAGGCAGCGGUAGGGAAUCUUCCGCAAUGGACGAAAGUCUGACGGAGCAACGCCGCGUGAGUGAUGAAGGCUUUCGGGUCGUAAAACUCUGUUGUUAGGGAAGAACAAGUGCUAGUUGAAUAAGCUGGCACCUUGACGGUACCUAACCAGAAAGCCACGGCUAACUACGUGCCAGCAGCCGCCGUAA